CCCCUUCUUAUUUCUGAAGUACACCAUGAUCUCGGUAUGACAUACAAGAUCGAUUCCAAUGCUUAUAUACAAGGAAAGUGUGUGUGGUUGUAAAAAUAAUUAUUAUCUUUAAUUACCAAUUAUCAUAAUUAAUGUCAAAGACAAAGGUCUGUAAAGUAUUCAACGUUCGCUAGUACACACAGUUUAAGUAUGUUAUCAUAUAUUUCCUAUGCUUAUGUUUCCUCAGGAC
This 229-nucleotide long non-coding RNA is filed under the name Mytilus galloprovincialis (Mediterranean mussel). The record is from RNAcentral. Lineage: Eukaryota; Metazoa; Mollusca; Bivalvia; Mytilida; Mytilidae.